GGUCUCAUAGCUCAGCUGGUUAGAGCACCUGACUCAUAAUCAGGGGGUCCAUGGUUCGAGCCCAUGUGGGACCA
RNAcentral lists this transfer RNA (74 nucleotides) under Wenyingzhuangia marina. RNAcentral's name for it is "tRNA_Met_CAT". It matches the Rfam family "tRNA". From Rfam's summary of the family: Transfer RNA (tRNA) molecules are approximately 80 nucleotides in length. Their secondary structure includes four short double-helical elements and three loops (D, anti-codon, and T loops). Lineage: Bacteria; Pseudomonadati; Bacteroidota; Flavobacteriia; Flavobacteriales; Flavobacteriaceae. The record is from RNAcentral. RNAcentral also lists the same sequence under 7 other names.